Non-coding RNA from Phodopus roborovskii (desert hamster), 390 nucleotides. Lineage: Eukaryota; Metazoa; Chordata; Mammalia; Rodentia; Cricetidae. The record is from the annotation of a RefSeq genome assembly.
AUGGGUCACAGCACAGACAUGAGGACCCCAACUCAGCUUGCAGGGUUGUUGCUGCUCUGCCUUAUAGGUGCCAGAUGUGAUUUCCAGAUGACCCAGUCUCCAGCCUUGCUGUCUGCAUCUGUGGGAGACAGAGUCACCAUCACAUGCCAGGCAAGUGAGGACAUUAGUAAUUAUUUAUCAUGGUAUCAGCAGGAACCAGAGAAACCUCCUAAGCUCCUGAUAAGUUAUGCAGACAGCUUAGAAGAUGGGGUCCCAUCGAGGUUCAGUGGCAGUGGAUCUGGCACACAGUUUUCUCUCAAGAUCAGCAGCCUGCAGCCUGAAGAUGUGGCAACUUAUUACUGCCAACAGAAUGACAGAACCCCUCCCACAGUGAUUCAAGCCAUGACAUAA